GCUACUGUGGCGUAAUGGUUUGAAUGUUGGACUACAACUCUGGAGACCAGGGUUCAAAUCCCUGCUCAGCC
Phrynosoma platyrhinos (Desert horned lizard) is the source of this 71-nucleotide non-coding RNA. NCBI's taxonomy places the organism in Eukaryota, Metazoa, Chordata, Lepidosauria, Squamata, Phrynosomatidae. The record is from the annotation of a GenBank genome assembly.